AUUAAGGAGCGUGAAUAGCCACUCACAUUGAACUCUAAUCAAACAACCAGACAAACUCCUGAAUCUAAUCUACCAACCAUAUCACGUUUCAGCAGAACAAAAUAUGAACAUAAGCUUACAUUUUCAUCAAGAGGCGCCCAUAUAUGGAGGCAGCAUAGAGCACCUUGAUGAAAAUUUCGUAGCAGGCCAACUAAAAAUCCAAUUCAAUUGGACUAUCUUGCAGUAAAUGACACGCAGGUGCUCAUUAAGCGGCAUGUUAUCAAUCUGGGUAGGGCAGCUAGUUGCAGUCUGCUACUCCCCCAUAAAGUUGUUGAAUCUGAUAAGAGUAUCUGCAGAUUGGGCAAUGACUGCAUUUAGCAUUUUUAACUUGGGCCAAGGACUUCCCAAGUAACAUCUAUGACCAUUUGACAUGAUAACUGGGAGCAGAAUUGCAGAAAUGCUAGCCAUCUGCAUAACCAGCAGCGAAAACAACA
RNAcentral lists this unclassified non-coding RNA (473 nucleotides) under Hevea brasiliensis (rubber tree). The record is from RNAcentral. Lineage: Eukaryota; Viridiplantae; Streptophyta; Magnoliopsida; Malpighiales; Euphorbiaceae.